RNAcentral lists this RNase P RNA (381 nucleotides) under uncultured Nocardiopsis sp. RNAcentral describes it as "Bacterial RNase P class A". It matches the Rfam family "Bacterial RNase P class A". From Rfam's summary of the family: Ribonuclease P (RNase P) is a ubiquitous endoribonuclease, found in archaea, bacteria and eukarya as well as chloroplasts and mitochondria. Its best characterised activity is the generation of mature 5'-ends of tRNAs by cleaving the 5'-leader elements of precursor-tRNAs. The record is from RNAcentral. Lineage: Bacteria; Bacillati; Actinomycetota; Actinomycetes; Streptosporangiales; Nocardiopsidaceae.
GAGUCGGCCAGGCGGCCGCGGAUCGCGCCAGGUGCGCGAAUUCGAGGAAAGUCCGGACUCCACAGGGCAGGGUGGUCGGUAACACCGACCCGGGGUGACCCGCGGGCCAGUGCCACAGAAAGCAAACCGCCACCGCGUGCGGUGGUAAGGGUGAAAGGGUGGUGUAAGAGACCACCAGUGGCCGGAGUGAUCCGGUCGGCUCGGUAAACCCCACCCGGAGCAAGGUCAAGAGGGGACCCCAGGGUCCCUGCGCGGAUGUUCGAGGGAUGCCCGCCCGAGUCCGCGGGUGGACCGCACCGAGGUCGUCGGCAACGACGGUCCCAGAUGGAUGGUCGCCAGGUCCUUUCAGGACCGACAGAAUCCGGCUUAUCGGCCGACUCC